CGCGGGGCGUCUGGAACUUAAAGGGGCAGCGUACCUUGGCCGUCCAGUUCCACAACAAGUCACGGACAAGUUCACUGAGAGCGUCUACGUCCUGGCCAACGAGCCAUCUGUGGCCCUGUACCGGCUGCAGGAGCAUGUGCGUCGCUCCCUCCCCGAGCUGGCCCAGCACAAGGCAGACAUGCAGCGUUGGGAGGAGCAGAGCCAGGGAGCCAUCUACACUGUGGAGUACGCCUGCAGCGCCGUGAAGAACCUGGUGGACAGCAGCGUCUACUUCCGCAGCGUGGAGGGUCUGCUCAAACAGGCCAUCAGCAUCCGGGACCAUAUGAAUGCCAGUGCCCAGGGCCACAGCCCGGAGGAACCACCCCCGCCCUCCUCAGCCUGAUCCUGGAAGAGACUCGGGGCCCCCCAGCCUCCGCCAACCCAGAGACGGGGUUUCACCAUGUUGGCUAGGCUGGUCUCAAACUCCUGAGCUCGUGAUCCUCCCACCUCAGCCUCCCAAAGUGCUGGGAUUAUAGAUGUGAGCCACCGCACCCAGCCUUGGUUCUCCCUUUCUUCAUCUGGAUAAGGAAGGCUGGACUGCACCUUCUCUACAGGCUGAGUUGGACAUUCGCAGAUCUACCCUCCCAACCUGCAUUCUGCCUCAAGCAGCAACGCCCACCCCAGGCUCAGGCCACAUGGAGAAGCCACCCCUAGUUCCAGUGGUGGAUGUGGCACCUCGGCCUGGCCAAUCAGAGCUCCCUUGUCCUAGGUUCCUAGUGAUUGGUUCAAGAUGGACACGUGACCCAAUGAGCGGCCUUUCCUGGGAGUUCUACCAGGAGCAUCAGGAAGGUUGAGCUGGGUGUAUGGGAACCAGGCCGGGGCGAGGGGUUCCAGGGGGG
RNAcentral lists this small RNA (878 nucleotides) under Pan troglodytes (chimpanzee). RNAcentral's name for it is "processed transcript". Lineage: Eukaryota; Metazoa; Chordata; Mammalia; Primates; Hominidae. The record is from RNAcentral.